This 71-nucleotide transfer RNA is filed under the name Ameiurus melas (black bullhead). RNAcentral's name for it is "tRNA-Glu". Lineage: Eukaryota; Metazoa; Chordata; Actinopteri; Siluriformes; Ictaluridae. The record is from RNAcentral.
UCCCUGGUUGUCUAGUGAUAAUGAAUCGGCGAUCUCACCGCCGCGGCCCAGGUUCGAUUCCCGUCAGGGAA